GCCCCCGUAGUCCAAUGGCAGAGACAGGCGACUUAAAAUCGUUCCAGUGUCGGUUCGAGUCCGACCGGGGGUACCA
Molecule: transfer RNA, 76 nt
Filed under: Conyzicola nivalis
Lineage: Bacteria; Bacillati; Actinomycetota; Actinomycetes; Micrococcales; Microbacteriaceae
Description: tRNA-Leu
Rfam family: tRNA
About the family: Transfer RNA (tRNA) molecules are approximately 80 nucleotides in length.
Source: RNAcentral